GACGAACGCUGGCGGCGUGCUUAACACAUGCAAGUCGAACGGAAAGGCCCUGCUUUUGUGGGGUGCUCGAGUGGCGAACGGGUGAGUAACACGUGAGUAACCUGCCCUUGACUUUGGGAUAACUUCAGGAAACUGGGGCUAAUACCGGAUAGGAGCUCCUGCUGCAUGGUGGGGGUUGGAGAGUUUCGGCGGUUGGGGAUGGACUCGCGGCUUAUCAGCUUGUUGGUGGGGUAGUGGCUUACCAAGGCUUUGACGGGUAGCAGGCCUGAGAGGGUGACCGGCCACAUUGGGACUGAGAUACGGCCCAGACUCCUACGGGAGGCAGCAGUGGGGAAUAUUGCACAAUGGGCGGAAGCCUGAUGCAGCAACGCCGCGUGCGGGAUGACGGCCUUCGGGUUGUAAACCGCUUUCGCCUGUGACGAAGCGUGAGUGACGGUAAUGGGUAAAGAAGCACCGGCUAACUACGUG
This 468-nucleotide ribosomal RNA is filed under the name uncultured bacterium. Its description in RNAcentral is "partial 16S ribosomal RNA". It matches the Rfam family "Bacterial small subunit ribosomal RNA", at positions 28 to 507 of the family's 1533-position model. The record is from RNAcentral.